GAUGAACGCUGGCGGCGUGCCUAAUACAUGCAAGUCGAGCGAACAGACGAGGAGCUUGCUCCUCUGACGUUAGCGGCGGACGGGUGAGUAACACGUGGAUAACCUACCUAUAAGACUGGGAUAACUUCGGGAAACCGGAGCUAAUACCGGAUAAUAUAUUGAACCGCAUGGUUCAAUAGUGAAAGACGGUUUUGCUGUCACUUAUAGAUGGAUCCGCGCCGCAUUAGCUAGUUGGUAAGGUAACGGCUUACAAAGGCAACGAUGCGUAGCCGACCGGAGAGGGUGAUCGGCCACACUGGAACUGAGCAACGGCCCAGACUCCUACGGGAGGCAGCAGUAGGGAAUCUUCCGCAAUGGGCGAAAGCCUGACGGAGCAACGCCGCGGGAGUGAUGAAGGUCUUCGGAUCGUAAAACUCUGUUAUUAGGGAAGAACAAAUGUGUAAGUAACUAUGCACGUCUUGACGGUACCUAAUCAGAAAGCCACGGCUAACUACGUG
Molecule: ribosomal RNA, 497 nt
Filed under: uncultured bacterium
Lineage: Bacteria
Description: partial 16S ribosomal RNA
Rfam family: Bacterial small subunit ribosomal RNA
Source: RNAcentral